GAUCCUGGCUCAGAAUCAACGCUGGCGGCGUGCCUAACACAUGCAAGUCGCACGAGAAAGCGGGCUUCGGCCUGCAAGUACAGUGGCGCACGGGUGAGUAACACGUGAAUCAUCUACCUCCGAGUGGGGAAUAACCUAGGGAAACCUGGGCUAAUACCGCAUAACACUUACGAGUCAAAGCAGCAAUGCGCUUGGAGAGGAGUUCGCGGCAGAUUAGCUAGUUGGUGGGGUAAUGGCCCACCAAGGCGAUGAUCUGUAUCCGGCCUGAGAGGGCGCACGGACACACUGGAACUGAAACACGGUCCAGACUCCUACGGGAGGCAGCAGUGGGGAAUUUUGCGCAAUGGGGGAAACCCUGACGCAGCAACGCCGCGUGGAGGAUGAAAUCCCUUGGGAUGUAAACUCCUUUCGAUCGGGACGAUUAUGACGGUACCGGAAGAAGAAGCCCCGGCUAACUUCGUGCCAGCAGCCGCGGUAAUACGAGGGGGGCAAGCGUUGUUCGGAAUUAUUGGGCGUAAAGGGCGCGUAGGCGGUUUGACAAGUCUGAUGUGAAAUCUCUGGGCUCAACCCAGAGUCUGCAUUAGAAACUGUCGGGCUUGAGUAUGGGAGAGGUGAGUGGAAUUUCCGGUGUAGCGGUGAAAUGCGUAGAUAUCGGAAGGAACACCCUGUGGCGAAAGCGGCUCACUGGAC
Molecule: ribosomal RNA, 690 nt
Filed under: uncultured Acidobacteriota bacterium
Lineage: Bacteria; Pseudomonadati; Acidobacteriota
Description: bacterial SSU rRNA
Rfam family: Bacterial small subunit ribosomal RNA
Source: RNAcentral